CCUACGGGUGGCAGCAGUAGGGAAUAUUGCUCAAUGGGGGAAACCCUGAAGCAGCAACGCCGCGUGGAGGAUGAAGGGUUUCGGAUUGUAAACUAUUGUCGUUAGGGAAGAUAAAAGACUGUACCUAAGGAGGAAGCCCCGGCUAACUAUGUGCCAGCAGCCGCGGUAAUACGUAGGGGGCAAGCGUUAUCCGGAAUUAUUGGGUGUAAAGGGUGCGUAGACGGAAGAACAAGUUGGUUGUGAAAUCCCUCGGCUCAACUGAGGAACUGCAACCAAAACUAUUCUCCUUGAGUGUCGGAGAGGAAAGUGGAAUUCCUAGUGUAGCGGUGAAAUGCGUAGAUAUUAGGAGGAACACCAGUGGCGAAGGCGACUUUCUGGACGAUAACUGACGUUGAGGCACGAAAGUGUGGGGAGCAAACAGGAUUAGAUACCCGUGUAGUC
Molecule: ribosomal RNA, 441 nt
Filed under: uncultured bacterium
Lineage: Bacteria
Description: partial 16S ribosomal RNA
Rfam family: Bacterial small subunit ribosomal RNA
Source: RNAcentral